This 301-nucleotide ribosomal RNA is filed under the name uncultured bacterium. Its description in RNAcentral is "partial 16S ribosomal RNA". It matches the Rfam family "Bacterial small subunit ribosomal RNA", at positions 509 to 807 of the family's 1533-position model. The record is from RNAcentral.
CAGCCGCCACGGUAAUACGUAGGGUGCGAGCGUUAAUCGGAAUUACUGGGCGUAAAGCGUGCGCAGGCGGUUCGUUAAGACAGAUGUGAAAUCCCCGGGCUUAACCUGGGAACUGCAUUUGUGACUGGCGAGCUAGAGUAUGGCAGAGGGGGGUAGAAUUCCACGUGUAGCAGUGAAAUGCGUAGAGAUGUGGAGGAAUACCGAUGGCGAAGGCAGCCCCCUGGGCCAAUACUGACGCUCAUGCACGAAAGCGUGGGGAGCAAACAGGAUUAGAUACCCCGGUAGUCCCUGUCUCUUAUAC